UGCGUAGGCGGAUUAUUAAGUCAGUGGUGAAAGUCUUCAGCUUAACUGAAGAAGUGCCAUUGAUACUGGUAGUCUUGAGUACAGUAGAGGUAGGCGGAAUUUAUGGUGUAGCGGUGAAAUGCAUAGAUACCAUAAAGAACACCGAUAGCGUAGGCAGCUUACUAUACUGUAACUGACGCUGAGGCACGAAAGCGUGGGGAGCGAACAGGAUUAGAUACCCGUGUAGUCC
RNAcentral lists this ribosomal RNA (229 nucleotides) under uncultured bacterium. RNAcentral's name for it is "partial 16S ribosomal RNA". It matches the Rfam family "Bacterial small subunit ribosomal RNA", at positions 568 to 796 of the family's 1533-position model. The record is from RNAcentral.